Molecule: long non-coding RNA, 1540 nt
Organism: Anastrepha ludens (Mexican fruit fly)
Lineage: Eukaryota; Metazoa; Arthropoda; Insecta; Diptera; Tephritidae
Exons: 4
Source: RefSeq, a predicted model, not a curated record
CUGAGGAAUCAACAUCGAUGUUUGCAAACAACGAUAUUUUUCGAUAUUAUCGAGUAUUCAAAUCGUAGAAUUUUAUUCUUCGGAUGUUUGAGCAUAGAUAAUGGGACUGUUCGUGAAGAAAUUUCUUCUUAACAAUUGUUAUUGUUGUUUUUACUGGAUACAUUUUUACUUGCACAAAUUUGAAAGUGAGAAAAAAGCUAAUCGCAAAGUAAAAAUAAACACGAAUUAAUAUUUGUGGAUUGAGUCAGAGUUCUGAAUUUAAACAAAAAUGGUGUUUAAAAUGGUUAAUGUGAUGGCAACCGGCGUACGUAUAAACCUACAUGUAUUUGUUGUUGCCUUUGGUGUAGGCAUCACGUCAAAAUCAGCUGUUUGUUUUCAGGGUGAUUUGCUUGUGAAACGUAAAUAAAAUAAUUCAUGUUUCGCGUUUAAAUUGCUUAGUACUUCCGAUUAAUUUAUUAAAUUGUGGGCCUGAGUAAAUUGCUUUGAAGAUGCCAGCAUAUGCAAUGCGGUGAUGUGUGUGCAGCACCGGCUUGGAGGAUUCGAUGCAAUUACAAUGAGCGUUAAAAACGCUCGCCAAAACUAAGCAUUGAUUGUUUUCCAUAUUUAUAACGAUUAGAAGAGGAAAAAGAGCCAACACGCUUACCUAAUUUACUACUUGAAGAAAAGUUAGCUGAAAGACCACGCUGGAAAUAGUCACAAAAUAAAAGAUAUGAAAAAAGUCACCUACAUUUGCGGUAUUUUAAUUUAUAAUACAUAUUUCAAGUCUGCCACGGGCAUUAAUAAGGUGAAAAUGAAAAUAGAGGAUGAUGUUUGGACACGGAAAAGAUUAAAAUAGAGAAACACAACAAAAAAAAACUUCGAAACAAGGGCAAAAUUAAAAUCUUACUGCAUACUAAGAGUAAUGUAUGCAAUAUUUUAGCUCAAUUGUUAUUUUUAAUUUGCAAUUUUUACAUGUGUAAUUCUCUAUCAUCUUGGCUAUCAGAAAUCCGCCCUUGGCUACUAAUGACUAUGAUGACUUUAUGUAAAUACUGUUGAGAAUCGCAUACCAUAUAAACUGUACACUUAAAAAUUCUAGAUAACAAAUUUCUUACAUGCUUGGGAACUCAUUUUAUAUUAUAUAUUUAUCUACAAUAUAAUAUAAAAAUAAGUCGGGGUUUCCUUCCUGACCCUAUAACUCGAGAACGCACUAACCGAUUUCCACGGUUUUGCAUUCGUUGUAAAGGUCUCGGGCUCCGUGACGUUUAUAACAUGUACUCUGCUCAGUUAAUUUCAUGUAACAUUUAUUAUGCGCACGUUUUUUCAAACGCUAACUUAAAACCGGUAUUUCGUUCACUGUGAUAUUUUAAAAUUGAGGUUAAAGUUAUUCGUUUACUAACAGUUCAACUGGAAACUAUUAAAUCAAUCACAUGUAUUGUGCAAAUUUUUGUUUAACUUCAACAGCAGGCAUUUGUCCUUAAGGUGGUAAGUUGAACUGUGUAAAUUAUGUGGAUCGUUCAUUUGAGGUUAAAUUCACCAGUCUGUCCAUAGUCCAAAAUGCCGA